This 1470-nucleotide long non-coding RNA is filed under the name Homo sapiens (human). RNAcentral describes it as "HSALNT0275416". Lineage: Eukaryota; Metazoa; Chordata; Mammalia; Primates; Hominidae. The record is from RNAcentral.
CCAGGACUCAGGCAAAACCCAGCUGUCCCUGGCGCUGUCUCCCAACAGCCCUGCAGGGCCCAGUGCUGGACCAGGGCCUUGUCUCCAGCCUCUCCCCCAUGGGACUCUGGGGCCUUUGGGGGCCCUUGGGGGCCUUCCUGCACCCUCACACCUACUCAUCUCUGGACUCAGCCUCAGUGUGAAUGCUCACCUCGGGCUGAGCCAACCCCUCCAGACACGUUCUGCAGCUCGAGGAAGGAACUGCCCUUUGCAGCUGGGAUCUGCCCGAGUUUCAGCAGCAGCCUUGAAUUGUAAUCCCGAGCGGCUGGCGAAUAACACAGCACACAGCACUCGAGAGCCCAGGUUGCCCUACCCCACCAGGUCCCUGGCUCGGCGUCCCCAGACUCUGCCAGGCUGGCCUCACCGUGUGUAUCGAGGUGUUCUCCCUGCAAGGUCUUCAUCAUUCCCCAAUUGCUCGCAUUUAUUUUUCUCCUUCCUUGGUGAGUGGCCCUGCCAGCCUCAGCCUUGUCUCUCCUUGGUGAGCGUCAUUAAUGCAGCUUCCGCGCCACGAUCAGAGGGGGCUGCCCCCACCCUGCCGGCCCUGCCGCUUCUCCUCUGCCCGCCUCGGGAUGGAUGUUCAUUUAUUGCCCAUAAAUCUCUGCACAGCCCUUUGUAAAGACAAAUUGGAGGCCUCCUGUUCCCCGGUGUUGGUUGGGCCGAUCGGUGGUGGGUUUAAUUGGCCCUUCCCGUGGAGGCUGCCCCUGCAGGAGAGGCUCGUUGUGGGCUGGGCCAGAUGCACUGCGUCUGCAGAAGGGGCCAUUCUCUGCCCCUCAUUUUGUCUAGCGUCUGAGGCUGGGCCAUGUGCAGGGACAAAGUGUGGAUCCUCCCUCGGGCUUCCAAAACAUGGCCUCCCCGCAUUCACGUGGCCUGGCAGCAGCCCAGGCCCAGGCAGGGCCCUCUCUCACCCAGGGGGUGAUGCCUGCAGCUUCAACAGCAACCUCCAGGAAGGAGGCGCAUGGGUUCGUUGAGGUGAUACAGGAGUGGAAGAGCUUGGUCCCUUGAAAUGAAUGAUAGGGAAAAGGGGAAGUGCUGCGUAGAGGAGGGUGUGAUCCCUGGCUGGGGCUCCAUCCCACAGACCUAGGUGAGGACAGGCAUUUUUGCAUUUCCCAAGACCACCCUGGCCUGCCACACCCCCAUCCUAUGACUAUAAAAACUCGCGAGACCCUGGCAGGCACGCACAAGCUGCUGGACGUGGAGAGGAGCGGAUUGGCAGAGGAGCACUCAGGCGGCUGGACGUCGAGAGGAACGCACUGACGGGCGCCGGCACCCCGGCAGGCUACCAACCGGCAGCAGAAUGACCUGGAGUUUGGCUGGGGCAGCCAGAGGAGAGCCCGGGCCCGACUCCAGGGGAAAACCGUCCCACUCCAUCUUCUUCUGCCUUCCCCCAUCUGCUACCUCCACUCAAUAAAACCUUGCACUCAUUCUCCGAGC